RNAcentral lists this ribosomal RNA (390 nucleotides) under uncultured Chrysophyceae. RNAcentral's name for it is "partial small subunit ribosomal RNA". It matches the Rfam family "Eukaryotic small subunit ribosomal RNA", at positions 30 to 432 of the family's 1831-position model. The record is from RNAcentral. Lineage: Eukaryota; Chrysophyceae.
GCUUGUCUCAAAGAUUAAGCCAUGCAUGUCUAAGUGUAAAUAAGUCUAUACUGUGAAACUGCGAAUGGCUCAUUAAAUCAGUUAUCGUUUAUUUGAUGAUCUCUUACUACUUGGAUAACCGUAGUAAUUCUAGAGCUAAUACGUGCGCACAACCCGACUUCUGGAAGGGGUGUAUUUAUUAGAUGGAAACCAAUGCAGGGCAACCUGGAAUAUGGUGAUUCAUAAUAACUCGCGGAUCGGUUUACCGAUGCAUCAUUCAAGUUUCUGCCCUAUCAGCUUUGGAUGGUAGGGUAUUGGCCUACCAUGGCUUUAACGGGUAACGGAGAAUUAGGGUUCGAUUCCGGAGAGGGAGCCUGAGAAAUGGCUACCACAUCCAAGGAAGGCAGCAGG